Molecule: long non-coding RNA, 160 nt
Organism: Nyctereutes procyonoides (raccoon dog)
Lineage: Eukaryota; Metazoa; Chordata; Mammalia; Carnivora; Canidae
Exons: 2
Source: RefSeq, a predicted model, not a curated record
CUUAGAGACGCCAGGGGUCUGUCCCUUACCCACCUGCAGUGUUGAAGGUAGAGGUGAAAAAUCUGGCUUUGAUAUCUUCAUGGAGGACUACAUUAUUUCAAUCCUGAAUCUGGUUCAGUUUUCUUACUGAUUUAUUACUAUAUUAAAAAUGUUUAAUUAA